ACAAAGGCAUUGACGGGGAGGAGUAAGCUGUUUUUUCUGGAAACAGCGAGACCGGGAAGGUGGAAGCCGGUCCCAGAUGGCAGCCGAAGAUCGCCCCUGAGCAGCGCUCUGAAAUUCGUAAAGAAAAGUAGGAGCUGCCGUGAGCUACGCGUUAUGUGCUUUGAGUGAACCGCUUAAUCCAGCGGUUUACUAAGGUGGUACCGCGGGUAGAAGCCUCUCGUCCUUAGG
Molecule: non-coding RNA, 228 nt
Filed under: Clostridia bacterium
Lineage: Bacteria; Bacillati; Bacillota; Clostridia
Description: T-box sequence
Rfam family: T-box leader
About the family: Uncharged tRNA acts as the effector for transcription antitermination of genes in the T-box leader family. T-boxes are found upstream of many aminoacyl-tRNA synthetase genes and some amino acid biosynthetic genes usually in Gram-positive bacteria.
Source: RNAcentral